UACGUAGGGGGCAAGCGUUGUCCGGAAUCAUUGGGCGUAAAGAGCGUGUAGGCGGCCCGGUAAGUCCGCUGUGAAAGUCCAGGGCUCAACCCUGGGAUGCCGGUGGAUACUGUCGGGCUCGAGUCCGGAAGAGGAGUGUGGAAUUCCUGGUGUAGCGGUGAAAUGCGCAGAUAUCAGGAGGAACACCAAUGGCGAAGGCAGCACUUUGGGACGUGACUGACGCUGAGACGCGAAAGCGUGGGGAGCAAACAGG
RNAcentral lists this ribosomal RNA (253 nucleotides) under uncultured bacterium. Its description in RNAcentral is "partial 16S ribosomal RNA". It matches the Rfam family "Bacterial small subunit ribosomal RNA", at positions 524 to 776 of the family's 1533-position model. The record is from RNAcentral.